RNAcentral lists this long non-coding RNA (1926 nucleotides) under Volvox carteri. Its description in RNAcentral is "long non-coding RNA (VCAR_LNC000167)". Lineage: Eukaryota; Viridiplantae; Chlorophyta; Chlorophyceae; Chlamydomonadales; Volvocaceae. The record is from RNAcentral.
GAGGCGCACCGUCACACUACAUUCGCGUUUCACCAAUCCUCCGGUUAUCCGUGCCAGUGCCCAUGAUAAUAUGGCACCGUUGAAUAUGCGGCAUAUAGAUCAUAACAUCCUAAUGCCUCAUUACAGGGUGAGUCGCACCGUUUCAUAGACCGUUCCGCUUUGGAGCUCUCACUGCUCCGAUAUCUCGGUGAACACAGCUAUCAGAUGACAGGCGUUCACCCGUGACCGCCAGCACCCGGGUGGCACAAUUCCUCUCAGGUUACGACCUGUGGUUUCGCAUAUGUACUUUACAAAUCCUUUUGCAGACUUACGUGUUUCUGGGCACAUGAUAUUUUAGAAUCGUAUGCGCUUUCUCUUAUCACCUAUGCGUGCUAAAACUUUGCGUGUCCCUAUGUUGUUGCUGCUCCGUUUCGGGAAGACAACUUGCUUUCUUAAUGCUUGCUUUCGGCCUACAGACUAAUAGUUUGGAGUGGAAGGCUACUGCAAAUGUCCUCAACGAUAUCAACGCGGUGAAUGCAGGAUUAAGUCGCUGCUGCAAUACGGACGGUAUUGAGCUAACGCCCUGUAAAUGUUUUUCGGAAACCAUUGAAGCGUUGUUCAGGCUUCUGGCAUUAACUAUUAUAUAGAGGCUCCUCGCGAAGACUGUUCUUCCGGCAAAGGUUACGCUUGGACGAACUUUUGCAACGUUGCUUGGUUGCCCUAAGGUUUUAUAGACAGCUUAGUUGUGCUUUUGUCAAACAGGAUUUAACCUGACGAACAAAAGGGGUAACACAACUCGGAACUUCUUACUUUCUUUCUUCAUACCGCAAAAAUGCCCGUGAAGAACUUAAUCCAUGGCUUCAGGUACAUACUCAUUCGCUUCUAGGAUAUGGGUUUGCCCGGAUGUGCACGCCGGCAGUCAGCGGUACAUGCGCACACCCUACCACCUGUACCGCUUCGCUCGCAACACAAGAAGCAGGGAUAAAUGUAUCUACGUAUUUGCAGCACACGUGAAACCAGCAGAACGAAACGCUGUUUGAACUACUGACGGUCCACAUAUAACCAGCAACGUGCGCCCCUGCAACCUUCUGGUUGACAUCGACAGCCCAACCACACCCUGACGUCUGGCCGGCACGGAAACCGUUGAAUUUGCAAACCCCUAGUCGUAUCUCCCUGCAAGCCCUUCCAGGACCAAUCACACCAUAUUCCCCCCUCCAUCUUCGUUCCCGUUACCCCUCACACCUCGUUAAUUGUACCCCUCACCUGCUGUCAACUGCACAUGUGCCCAUAUAUCCGUGAUUUACUACACCCACCGACUGACGCUAAUACUUGAAGAAGCCAUCGUCGCCUUUCCUCGUCGUGCAGCAAGUCCUACCAACCCCCUAAUCCCACCGGUAUCUUACUCGGGCAGCGCCUCGAGGUCGGAGGACACCAUUCUCUGCUGCAGUCGCCGCAUCUGCACCGCCAAGCGUCCCAGCACUGAGGCCAUCUCCUCGCUCUCCGCCACAGCGCUGUUCUCCAGCGCCUCCACCAGAGACAGCACCUCAGCCACCUCCUCGUGCGUGAAACCGUUGCUCACCUGUCCCGCAGACCCCGAACCCUGGGAUGACGCCGAGUUCACCCCCGACCCCGCCCGUCCCACUCCGUCAUCGGCGGACGCCACGUUGAAGAGAGCCUUGCAUACGACGUCAAUAAUGGCCUCGUCGCGAUCACCCAGCUCGUCCUGUGCCACAGUGCGGCUCAACACCUCGACCAAUCGCGAUGUGCCGCCCAGUGCGCCCAGUACAUGCUUGCGUGAGGCAUCCAUUGUGAAGUUGAUGAGCGUGCCGCAUACAGAGUAGAGCACCUCGGCGUUGCUGUGGUCCAGAAGCAGCACCAGGGCCUCCACAACGCGGGCGGCCUGUGGGCGCGAUGCGGGCAGCGGGCACGCAAAUGCAGGAAGGCGGG